Molecule: ribosomal RNA, 301 nt
Filed under: uncultured bacterium
Lineage: Bacteria
Description: partial 16S ribosomal RNA
Rfam family: Bacterial small subunit ribosomal RNA
Source: RNAcentral
CAGUAGCCGCGGGAAUACGGAGGGUGCAAGCGUUAAUCGGAAUUACUGGGCGUAAAGCGUGCGUAGGCGGUUUGUUAAGUCUGCUGUGAAAUCCCCGGGCUCAACCUGGGAAUGGCAGUGGAUACUGGCAAGCUAGAGUGUGUCAGAGGAUGGUGGAAUUCCCGGUGUAGCGGUGAAAUGCGUAGAGAUCGGGAGGAACAUCAGUGGCGAAGGCGGCCAUCUGGGACAACACUGACGCUGAGGCACGAAAGCGUGGGGAGCAAACAGGAUUAGAUACCCGGGUAGUCCCUGUCUCUUAUAC